CCCCUAGAUGUUCUGGGCCGCACGCGCGCUACACUGAACAGUUCAACAAGUCUUAACCUUGGCCGAUAGGUCUGGGCAAUCUUUGAACGCUGUUCGUGAUUGGGAUAGACCUUUGCAAUUAUGGGUCUUCAACGAGGAAUUCCUAGUAAACGCAAGUCAUCAGCUUGCAUUGAUUACGUCCCUGCCCUUUGUACACACCGCCCGUCGCACCUACCGAUUGAAUGGUCCGGUGAAGCGUUCGGACCGUGGCCUUUGGACGGUUCGCCGUCUGUUGGCUGCGGGAAGUUCGUUAAACCUUAUCAUUUAGAGGAAGGAGAAGUCGUAACA
RNAcentral lists this ribosomal RNA (327 nucleotides) under uncultured eukaryote. RNAcentral's name for it is "partial 18S ribosomal RNA". It matches the Rfam family "Eukaryotic small subunit ribosomal RNA", at positions 1470 to 1796 of the family's 1831-position model. The record is from RNAcentral.